GAUGAACGCUGGCGGCGUGCCUAAUACAUGCAAGUCGAGCGAACAGACGAGGAGCUUGCUCCUCUGACGUUAGCGGCGGACGGGUGAGUAACACGUGGAUAACCUACUUAUAAGACUGGGAUAACUUCGGGAAACCGGAGCUAAUACCGGAUAAUAUAUUGAACCGCAUGGUUCAAUAGUGAAAGACGGUUUUGCUGUCACUUAUAGAUGGAUCCGCGCCGCAUUAGCUAGUUGGUAAGGUAACGGCUUACCAAGGCGACGAUGCGUAGCCGACCUGAGAGGGUGAUCGGCCACACUGGAACUGAGACACGGUCCAGACUCCUACGGGAGGCAGCAGUAGGGAAUCUUCCGCAAUGGGCGAAAGCCUGACGGAGCAACGCCGCGUGAGUGAUGAAGGGCUUCGGAUCGUAAAACUCUGUUAUUAGGGAAGAACAAAUGUGUAAGUAACUAGGCACGUCUUGACGGUACCUAAUCAGAAAGCCACGGCUAACUACGUGC
This 498-nucleotide ribosomal RNA is filed under the name uncultured bacterium. Its description in RNAcentral is "partial 16S ribosomal RNA". It matches the Rfam family "Bacterial small subunit ribosomal RNA", at positions 28 to 508 of the family's 1533-position model. The record is from RNAcentral.